RNAcentral lists this ribosomal RNA (275 nucleotides) under uncultured bacterium. RNAcentral's name for it is "partial 16S ribosomal RNA". It matches the Rfam family "Bacterial small subunit ribosomal RNA", at positions 523 to 796 of the family's 1533-position model. The record is from RNAcentral.
AUACGUAGGGUGCAAGCGUUAUCCGGAAUCAUUGGGCGUAAAGAGCUCGUAGGCGGUUCAGCAAGUCGGCUGUGAAAUUCCGAGGCUCAACCUCGGAACUGCAGUCGAUACUGCUGUGACUAGAGUCCGGUAGAGGAGAGUGGAAUUCCCGGUGUAGCGGUGAAAUGCGCAGAUAGCGGGAGGAACACCAGCAGCGAAGGCGGCUCUCUGGGCCGGCACUGACGCUGAGGAGCGAAAGCGUGGGGAGCAAACAGGAGUAGAAACCCGGGUAGUCC